UAAAUCAUAAACAAUAACACUUUCCAUGUAACACAUGUUCUUGCAAGUACAUUUGAUACACAGUUUUGCCAUUGCUUAACGCUUGGUAAUGUCAGCUAUUGCACUCUUCCUCUCAUUCAAGUAUAUGCAUGUAUACAUAUUUCAACAAAAGAGAGCUACCUUCCUGCUGGCUUCAAUUUGCUUUCUCUAUAUGCAUGUAUGAGUAAGACUAGGGAAUACAGACCAGACCAGUCCAGAAAAAAUGAUGAUCAGGUCUGUAACCCAUCUCCUAUGAUGUUAGUCCCGUAACGUCCCUUGGAAUCAGAAACAAAAAUCCGAUAGGUAAGAGAGUUCCGAUCAGCCGAACAGCUAGGCCGAGCGCCAGAUUGUCAAACUGUACCGACGAGAUGUUCAAAGCUGGCGUCAAUGCAGCUCCAAGGAAUGAACCUAAUGUCGAACUGAGGUUGUUAAUGGACAUGAACAGAGCAAACAGUGUGCCCUCGAUUCCAGGCGGGCAAAGCUGUCCUGAGAGGAUUAGGAACGGCAUCAUCCUGCCAAAUGAAAACAAUAAAGUUAGAAACGCUAUUGCGUAAAUGUGUAGGUAAGGUGUCUGAUCUUCAGCCAUGAGUGCAAUAAUGGAUUCAUACUGGAUAGAUUGAACAAUUUCUUCAUUUUUUCGGUUGCUCUUUUGCAAUUUUGAUUAAGAGAACAGUAUGAACCUACUAGCCAAUGUCAAUUAUCAUACUGGGUAAAAGUGAAGAAUUUCCUCCGUUGCGUAAAAGAACAUACAGUGAUCUAAAGCAAUUAAUGACAGACAGGUCACACUGAACCAUGAGCUCAAGAAGCAUUCAUGAGCGCCACUUGAUUGACACUCGCCCAAAUAAAGGGAAAUAAAAUAAGAGUAUGCCUGGAGUAUCUGUCUAGAUUUAGUUGAAAUAAAUAAGUUUAAGUUGGUGCCUAAUGAGUUACCACAACACUAAAAUCUUCUAAAUACAAGAUUAGUCAAUGAAGGAUCAGUAACUCUGGGCAGCAACUUAGCAUGUAUAACAGAAACGCAUCUCAACUGGUUCUCUAAACUACAGGUCAAGCAGAUCACUCAGUUUAUGGUUUGCAAUCUACUCCCUCCGUCCCAUAAUAUAAGAUCAUUUUGCAAGCUUGGGAUGGAGGGAAUAGUUCAUAGGAGUAUGAAAGAAAUGACAGCUAGAGGAUAUACUUGAAUUGGUUGAUUGCAUCGGCCAAAGCAGAGCCCCACAGCACCAUGUAUUUGUCUGCUAUUCCAUACUGAAUAUGUAAUCUUGACACCAGUAAAAUGUCCAAUACAGUAAUUAUCACAAGGCCAACAUGUGCAAACCUGUAAAAUAAGGACAGCAGUUAUUAAAGGUGGCACAUGUAAGUACCUAAUAACUUUAAAAAAGUGAAUAGAUUUGCAUCGUAGCCAAUUACGCCCCAAGAAUUAUGUCAGUUUUUUAACAACAUUAAUAAAAGAGCAUACACUCACUAAAACACUGACCAAAAGGUGAUCAAUAAAUGGCUUAUACCAAAAAUACCAAGAUGAGAAUUUAGUGCAACUCAUUCAAAUCAUGGACAGCCAACUUACACAAAAGUUUAUAGAAAGUUUCAGUUAGUACAUUAAGCAUAUAUACAUAAUAUUUCAACUUCCUUUAAACAAGCUAUGGCACUAAUAUAGAUAGUGUUUUGACAUUUGCAGAAGAUAAACAGCUUGAAAAAAAUGACUUACAUAAGAAUAUUCCUGAGUUUUGUAUGCUUUAAGUAGCGGUUGUAGAUAUAUGUGCCAAGCAUUAGACUGAACCACCCAAUCACACGUGCAGUCCCUAGGAAGGAUGCCUCCAGAUGUAGAACCUCCAUUUGAUAAUAGAACAUAACUGUUGAGAUAUUUGGAACUGCUGCAUUUGAAAUGAAAAACCAUGCCAUAGGUCUAGAGAAAAGAAGAAAGGAAGUUACCGGUUAGGCUCUUCAGUGAAAGAGGCAAACAUCAGAGAAAAUGAAAUUGCAGGGUUAAUUACCGCAAAAUUGCUGGCUGCUUAAAAGCAGUGCAUAAACUGACUAAGGCUGAUUUCAGAGAUGAGUAUAAAUCAACUGAUUUAUUGUGCUUCUCAUGAGCUUCAGAUCGUUUGGAUAAUGAUCUCCUUUUGCUCUUUUUACGAGCAACCUUUCGCUUCCUAGUGCCCUCAUAUUUAAAAGAUUCACCUGAGCCUUGUCCAGCAAAAGCACUAUCAAUAUUCUGACCAUCAACAUGAUCAUGUGCGGCGUUAUCUGUCGUGCUUUCAAAUCCUUUUGGAGAUUCCUUAAGGAAAACACAUGUAACUAGUUGGAACAGUGGAAGAGCAGAGAACAUAAUAUAAAUAGCAUUUAUUGGGAGAUUGGACAAUGCGUAUCCUCCCAAUAAGCUCCCAAAUAUCCCCCCUACAGCCAUUGAUGACCAAGAUAAUGACUGGAGAUCACCAGCAAAUUCUGGCCUGAAAAGAGAAUAAUUCAGGUUUCAAAGCAUUGUAUUGGAGUACUUGCUAUACAAGGUGAGACAAGAUGCACAAAAUUACUCACCCUGCUGAUCGAACUGCCUCUGCAAUCAUUGCAUCUAUAACAACAUCUGUCAUGGCAGAUCCCAAGUUCUGUACAAUCAACAUUAGCAUAAAAAGAUUGCUUGAGCUCCUCAAAUAUUCUGAUAGCCCAAUGAUAAGCCAUGGAAAUAGAGAAAGACCACUAGAAAAGACCACUAGAAAUGAAAAGAUCUUAAUCUUUGGCACCCCGCGGCGAAGCUCCCCUCCCUAGGGUUCCCACCCCCGCCGCCGCCGGCCGCCGGGCGCGCGCCUCCCGGCCCGCCCCGCUCCCCUCCCCCUCUCCCCUUCCCCCUCUCCUCCCCCCCCCUCCCCNNNNNNNNNNNNNNNNNNNNNNNNNNNNNNNNNNNNNNNNNNNNNNNNNNNNNNNNNNNNNNNNNNNNNNNNNNNNNNNNNNNNNNNNNNNNNNNNNNNNNNNNNNNNNNNNNNNNNNNNNNNNNNNNNNNNNNNNNNNNNNNNNNNNNNNNNNNNNNNNNNNNNNNNNNNNNNNNNNNNNNNNNNNNNNNNNNNNNNNNNNNNNNNNNNNNNNNNNNNNNNNNNNNNNNNNNNNNNNNNNNNNNNNNNNNNNNNNNNNNNNNNNNNNNNNNNNNNNNNNNNNNNNNNNNNNNNNNNNNNNNNNNNNNNNNNNNNNNNNNNNNNNNNNNNNNNNNNNNNNNNNNNNNNNNNNNNNNNNNNNNNNNNNNNNNNNNNNNNNNNNNNNNNNNNNNNNNNNNNNNNNNNNNNNNNNNNNNNNNNNNNNNNNNNNNNAUCCAGCGGCGCGGCGGCAGUCUCGCGGGGCGGCGGGGUGGCCUGCUGUGGCGGCACUCCGGCGAUCCUCGGGCUGCGCGCUGCGGGGCGGCUGCGGUGCUCCCGUCUCGGGAGGUGGCGCGCGACCGGUCUCGGGCCGGAUCCGUCCGGAUCGGGCUUCGGGGGGCAGCCAGUGGCGCCUGACUCCGGUGGUGCGUGCCCGGCGGCUCCGGCGCUUGGAGCCCGCCGGGCGACGCGGGUAGGGCAGCGGCCGGGCGUGGCUGCUGCUCCGGCCGUGGGCGGCGACAUGGGUAGGUCUCGGUGGCCUACCGGUGUCGUGGCGGCUUCACGGUGACUCGACGGAUCUCUCCGCGGCAACGGCCGGCUCCUCCGGCGUCGGUUUGUCUGCGUUCAGGCCGUCUCGUCCUUCACCCCAUCUCGUCGUCGCCCGGGUGCUACGCCCAUCAAAGGGCUGGUCCUUUCCCAGCUGCGAUCCACCGCUCGUCUCGCGCCCGAUGCCGCAGGACAGAGCUCGUCUCGCGCACGAUGCAGCAAGACCGAGCUCGUCUCGCGCACGAUGCAGCAGGACCAAGCUCGUCUCGCGCCCGAUGCAGCAGGACCGAGCUCGUCUCGCGCACGAUGCUGCAGGACCGAGCUCCUCUCGCGCUUGGGGUAGCAGGAUGGGUCGGUGGAUGCCGGUUCUGGCCGACCUAUUGGGUCUCGACGCUGGGGGUUGCCCAGGGGCGCGAAAGGUGGGACCUUUCCGCUCGUCUCUUUCAUUGGGGUGUGCCGGGUCACGGGUGAGGUGGUGUCGAGGUCUUGGAUGCUGGGGCGGCGGCCCUGGUGGUGGUGGUGGCGCGGUGCUCUUGGACAUAGCCCGCGCCUUGGUGCUGCCCGCUCAUCAUGGCCGUGUGGGCGGCGUGGUUGCCGGGGUGUGGCGUUCGGUGGCGGUGAAUGUUGGCCGAGGUGAAAACCUGCUCUAUCUUCGGACGGACCGGCGGCGGCGAAGAUCGCUCCCUUCUUGAAGGCGUCGUCGCGGCUCUCAUUGCCCAUCAUGCGGCUCCGGGGGAAACUUUGAUCCUUGGAUCGGGCGGUGGCGGCGCUCCGGCGUCGUUUCCUUCCUGAAGGCGCCGCCUUGGAGCGCAUGGUUCGUCAUAUGUAGCUUCAUAUCUUCGGGGCGGUAGUGCUAGGAGUAGUGUUGCUGCGCUCAGCGCCUUUGUAUCCCGUCCUGGGUGUGUGCGUGUGUUGCGGUGGCGUAGCGUGUGGUUGUACUGGAUGCUUGUGGGUUGUUGCUUUAUAUAUAAAGCGGGGCGAAAGCCUUUUUCGGUAAAUGAUCAAAUAGGGUACACGCUUCCUCUGCUUAAUUGGAAUACAGUCCGACACAAUCCUGCAAGCACAAUUGAUAUAUGGGUAAGUAAAUAAAACCAGGAUUUUUUUUAUUGAGCGUUCAGGAAUAUGUCCAGUAAUGCAUGUACCAACGCAUAUAUGGAUGCUGUACAGCUGUCAGCAACAAGUUGUGAACCUUUAUCCACAACAGGACAGCUAAUGUACUGAACAUAGCCAAAUGGCAAUGCUGCAAGAUAUUGGUAGACAUAGUUGGAUGAGAGAUUAUUUUUGGAGAGAAAAGAUUGGUUGUCUCUUCCUGAAACAUAGAUACAUGGCAUCUCUAUCUAUAUAGUGGAUGCUUAGAUCUUUUGACUUUUCCUAGCACGAUACAAACUCCGCAUGGUUUGACUCCUUUAAUCCUACACUUGCUAAUACAAUAGUUUUUCCUACAAGACUCUCCUUCCUCCCGUUUCCUUGGUGCUGCAAAUCCUUGUCUGACACGUGACCAUCUUCUGCUACAGGCCUACGAUGCACCUUUGUCCUUGGCCUCCUUGCGAGACAGCUGACUGCAACCGAACUCUCACUGGCUUGAUGCAACAUACUAAUGCGUAUAACAACACCACUACCAAAAAGCAGCGCAACUCUGUGGACACGGAAGUACUAGGGCAAUCAUAGAUCAUGGACACUAGCUAGAAAUCCGGUUAUGAGUUUGAUAUUACACGGGCCUAUGUACUAGAACCGCUGAAUGCCUUAAUUUACAGCGACAAAGGUAUUGAACAACAGAUAUGGGAAAUACUUUCUGUCAUGUGUUCCCUUUUGCAUUUCCAUGUUACUGUCAUGUGCCCAUGUGUACAAAUGAACUGCUCUUGUUAAUCAAUUUUCUAUUAAAGUAACUUGAAUACAAGCUAUGUUCAGAUUGUUAGUGAUUGGUUCUAUUCAUGGUAAUCUGUAAUUAAUCAGAAAUUGAAAAAAAAAACUUUAGCUCUAGUGGAAUAAUUAUUACGUAUCUAUAGCUCCUUAAAAGUCCAGUAAUAAACUUGUGUUGUGGUGGAUGCCAAUAUCAAACAAUAGCUAAGCUUAUGCCUGAAAAAGGCGUAAUUCUGAAAACUGAGAUGUAACACUCAUGAUAUAGGCCAAGGACAAGAAUGAUUAUUUUGCAUCAACCAAGGUUAAAUUCUUGGUAAGCUUCGCUUCAUAUAAAGCAACGAACAAAAGGUAACAUUACCCAUAUAUAGGUUUUAUGCUCCAAGGGGAAAAUGCAGCAGAGACCAAAAACUGUGAUGUUGAGGGUGACAGCUUCAUGAUGUCCUUCAUUUGAUAUGAGACAGUUGUCCAGACAAAGGAUCUGAAACCCUAAAACAUUGAAGAAUACAUAUUAGAACGUUUAAAAUGUUAACAUGUUCUUAUUUGUGCAGCAUUCAAGAAAAACAAACAGAUUUGAAGGAGGGCCUCUUUAGUUAUGCUGAAUUCAGACAAUGGAAACAAAGCAUGCAAGUUGAACAAGUGCUAAGGAUAUGAAUAAACAACCUUGGCCCCCUACAUGACACCUUAAGGUAUUUGACAUGACACCAAGGCUCACUAUCCUGUGCAAUUAUCACAUCAAGUAGUUUUAAGGCAUCAGAAUCCAAGGCAAGACUCGCCAACACUUCUGUAGUUUCACAUAUCCAUGGGGCAGAGAAUGAUUUAUCGAUUCUAACCGAAUUUCUUAAGCGCAACUGAGUCUCUAUACAUACAGUAACUGAUUUGGCAGCAUAUAAACGCUAGACGUCCAUCUCAAGCUACUCUGGCAGCACGGGCUUCACAUUCACAACAGGAUAAAAUUAGCGUGCUGUCUACAAAAAGAAUAUUCAAAAUAGGGAUCCAGGCAUCCUUCAUCUUGCGUGUUCUGGAAACAUAAACUACGAAAUGAUCCUACGGACACGCAUAUGAGUGGCAGAUCCAUCUAAAUCGACGGUGCGUGCGCAGAGAAAUGGGUGCGAUGACGAGGAGCGUCAAGGUGCCGGAGAGAGGAAGAGAUCAGGAGAAGGGACAUAACUAAAAAGAAUUUAUAUUGAUAAUAAUACUAGUCAGACACCAAUUACAUCAAGAUUAGCCCCAUUGGCCACGUUUGGUUCCAGAGACCAUAUUCACACCUAGACUGGCUAGAAUCAGCCGAGCUAAGCUCUGAUUCUAAUGGCUAGCACGAUUUACACUAACAGCUGAGCUACACUGAUUCUAGUGCCCUGCCAUGGGUGGUUCAUUCAGUUGGUCCAGACGAAGUAGGGGCACACGGGUCCCAUGGCCGGCGUCCAGUUGCCACACCCGAAGAAGCACUUGCCCUGCAUCGGCCCUGGCACGGACACCACGCCUCCUCUGGUCGGUACCCUGCAGUAGCAGAAGCACGUCGCAGAGGAGCCGCCGCAAGGGCUUAUCAUGUGUGGCUGCGGCGGCUGCUGCUUCUGCUGGAUCAGCGGCGGCGCCAGCGCCGAUGAGCCACCGCAAGGGCUUGUGCGAAGCUGCGGCGACUGCUGCUUCUGCUGGAUCAUCGGCAGCGGCGCCAGCGCAGAUGAGCCACCGCAAGAGCUUGUGAGAAGGUGCGGGGGCUGCUCCUUCUGCUGGAUCGGCAGCGGCGGCGCCAGCGAACCGGUGAUGGUCAUCUUGACCCCCCGCCGCAUCAGCUCAACAAGAAGCCGCGCCGUGUUGCGCGCGUCGUCCAGUCCGCAGUGCAGGCGGCCCUCCCAGUCCAGUCCCUCUGCCCUGACCGCCUCCUGAAGGGUGACCCGCCCUCCGCCGCCGAGCGCCGCCUGGAAGGGGACCCUCAGGUUGAUCCAGCGAUCGAAGUAGGAGGGCUUCUCGAUCCCCUUGAAGCGGCACUCGGACUCGAGCAUGGUGCGGCAAUCCCAAUCUCCCCAGGUCACAACGGCCAAGCUGCCUCCCCCCGCCGUCGCCGCCUUCAGCCAAGAGUCGUGCAUCCAGAGCGCCUCGCCGAGAUCCACGCCGCCGUCGACGUCCUCCUGCCGGAUGCCGGUGAGUUCCCUGCAAAAUUGGGUCAGCACAGGGUGAUGUUUUGGACGAACGUACCUGCGAAACGCGGACUCGAUGCGGCCGGUGGCGCCGUCGACGAGCACGGCGGGGAACUCAAUGAUUUCCUGCGGAAAGAUCCGCGCGUCUUUCACGCACGUCGCCUCGAAGUCCACCACCACGAAGAAGUCGAAAUCCUGCACCUGCCCCUGCCCGCGCGCCGCCAUGAUCGCUGCCAUGUUCGACGAGGUGCGCGCAAACUCCGAGAAUCGAGAUCGGGGAAACUAGGGCGGGGAAGAUCGGGGGAAGAGGGAAUCGAGAACUAGGGCAGCGAAGGUCGGGGAAAGUUGGGAUCGAAAUCUGAUUUGUUUCCUCCUCACGCUUGGGGCAGGCACAAUUUCUAAUCCAAUCCGAUACUUGUCGGAUUGGCGCGCUUUUUUUUUGACGUGGUUGGCGCUAUUCCUUUUUUUUUGCGGUGGCGCUAUUUCUAGUCCAAUCGACAAAUCAAAAGAUGUGAGAGCAACUCCGGGCGUACCGCACCGACCAAAACGGCCGCGCGUCCGUUUGUCGUUCGCCUGCCGACCCAUUUUCCCUUUUUUUGUGUGCUGACAUGUGUGCUGACCGCUCGCGAGUGCUCCAGCAUACUGUGUGGUGAUAUGUUUUGAAGCCGGUAUUGUAUGUCGGCGCUGGCAUUGGUGCCGGCAUGAGACAUGGCUGGCCGCAUGAUCUAUGGCCGCGGGCCUUUUUUAAAAAUUAAGUGCGGACAUGAAAUGGAUCGGGGCGUUGAGCGCAUGGCCGACCUAAAUCUAAAAUAGGACGGACGCCGGGCGGACGGCCGACCCAAACAGACAAAAAAGGACAAAUGUGUCGUCUGUUUGGGUCGGCCGGUUGGAGUUGCUCUGAUUAGUGGGAAAAGGACCAAUGAAUGUGCUAGAAGACUCGUUUGACUCUUCUCCGCUUUCACGUGUUCAUGUUAAGUUGGUUUUGUUGGAAUGUCCAAAAAAAGUUGGUUUUGUUGGAGUUUCUUUUUGAUGUAUCUUGCUACUUGGCUGCUUCUACUCUACUCUAGAGCCUGGGAGCAUCUACAGCCGAAAAACCCAAACCCGCGUUAAAUGUCUGGGCGAACGGCCCGGUCAUUAACCAGUCAAAAAACGACCUACCCGAGCAUCUCAAACUGCCCUCAAAUCAUCAGGUUGUCCGGAGACCUCAUAUCGAGCCCAAAUGUAGGACCGAUAUGGGAGGCCCAGGCGCGUCCGCCACGUCAGCCCGGUCCACCUCGACCCUCCUCUGUCCCCACAAAACCCACCAAUCCGGAAACCCUAACUCAGUUCACUCCGCUCUCACUCUGUCUCUUCUUCUCCCCUUACUCCGAUUUCGAUCCACUCCAAUGACUCUGACGACCAUGUCGAGUGCCGACAGCCGCUCUGACUCCGACCUUGAUGUCGGUGAGGAGAUGGCCCUCCGCAUUGCCCUCGAGAGGUCCAAGGUGGACACUGUUGGGGAACGUAGUAAUGAUUCAAAAAAAUUCCUACGUGUCACCAAGAUCAAUCUAGGAGAUGCUAGCAAUGAGAGAGAGGGAGUGCAUCUUCAUAUCCUUGAAGAUCGCUAAGCGGAAGCGCUACAAGAACGUGGUUGAUGGAGUCGUACUCGCGGCGAUUGAAAUCGCGGAAGAUCCGAUCCAAGCGCCGAACGGACGACGCCUCCGCGUUCAACACACGUACAGGCGGGGGAUGUCUCCUCCUUCUUGAUGCAGCAAGGGGGAAGAGAAGUUGAGCGAGAACUCCAGCAGCAUGACGGCAUGGUGGUGGUGGAGCUCGUGGUUCUCCGGCAGGGCUUCGUCAAGCACUACGGAGGAGGGGGAGGUGUAGAAGGGGGAAGGGCUGCGCCGGGGGGAGAGGUGCUGCUGCUCUCCCACCCCCCUCUAUUUAUAGGGUGAAGGGGAGAGGGGGGCGGCCCCCUAGAUGCAUCUAGAUGGGGGGCGGCGGCCAAGGGGGUGCUUGCCCCCCCCCAAGUGGGUGGGAGGCGCCCCCACCCCCUAGGGUUUCCAACCCUAGGCGCCUUGGGCCCUUGGGGGGCGCACCAGCCCACUAGGGGGCUGGUUCCCACCCAUAUUCAGCCCACUUGGUCCCCCCGAGGUAGGUGGCCCCACCCGGUGGACCCCGGACACCUUUCGGUGGUCCCAGUACAAUAUCAAUAACUCCGGAACCUUUCCGGUGACUGAAACUGGACUUCCCAUAUAUAAAUCUUCACCUCCGGACCAUUCCGGAACUUCUCAUGACGUCCGGGAUCUCAUCUGGGACUCUGAACAACUUUAAGUAACCACAUACAAUUUCCCAUUAUAACUCUAUCGUCACCGAACCUUAAGUGUGUAGACCCUACGGGUUCAGGAACCUUGCAGACAUGACCGAGACAUCUCUCCGGCCAAUAACUAAUAGCGGGAUCUGGAUACCCAUAUUGGCUCCCACAUGCUUCAUGAUGAUCUCAUCGGAUGAACCACGAUGUCGGGGAUUUACUCAAUCCCGUAUACAAUUCUCUUUGUCCAUCGGUAUGUUACUUGCCCGAGAUUCGAUCGUCGGUAUCCCCGUACCUCGUUCAAUCUCGUUACCGGCAAGUCUCUUUACUCGUUCCGUAACGCAUGAUCCCGUGACUAACUCCUUAUUCACAUUGAGCUCAUUAUGAUGAUGCAUUACCAAGUGGGCCCAGAGAUACCUCUCCAUCAUACAGAGUGACAAAUCACAGUCUCGAUUCGUGCCAACCCAAUAGACACUUUCAGAGAUACCUGUAGUGCACCUUUAUGGGCACCCCGUUACGUUGUGAUGUUUGAUACAACCAACGCAUUCCUACGAUAUCCGAGAGUUGCACAAUCUCAUGGUCUAAGGAAAGAUACUUGACAUUAGAAAAGCUCUAGCAAAUGAACUACACGAUCUUGUGCUAUGCUUAGGAUUGGGUCUUGUCCAUCACAUCAUUCUCCUAAUGAUGAGAUCUCAUUACUAAUGACAUCCAAUGUCCAUGGUCAGGAAACCAUAACCAUCUAUUGAUCAACGAGCUAGUCAACUAGAGGCUCACUAGGGACAUGUUGUGGUCUAUGUAUUCACACAUGUAUUAUGGUUUCCAGUUAAUCCAACUAUAGCAUGAACAAUAGACAAUUAUCAUGAACAUGGAAAUAUAAUAAUAACCAGUUUAUUAUUGCCUCUAGGGCAUAUUUCCAACAAUCUCCCACUUGCACUAGAGUCAAUAAUCUAGUUACAUUGUGAUGAAUCGAACACCCAUAUAGUUCUAGUGUUGAUCAUGUUUUGCUCGUGGAAGAGGUUUAGUCAACAGAUCUGCGACAUUCAGAUCCAUAUGCACUUUACAAAUAUCUAUGUCUCCAUCUUGAAUAUAUUCACGAAUGGAGUUGAAGCGACACUUCAUGCGCCUGGUCUUCUUGUGAAACCUGGGCUCUUUGGCAAGGGCAAUAGCUCAAGUGUUGUCACAUAAGAGAGUCGUCGGGCCCGACGCAUUGGGAAUCACUCCUAGGUUGGUGAUAAACUCCUUCAUCCAGACUGCUUCCUGUGCUGCUUCCGAAGCAGCUAUGUACUCCGCUUCACAUGUAGAUCCCGCCAUGACACUUUGCUUGCAACUGCACCAACUGACUGCCCCACCAUUCAAAAUAUACAUGUAUCCGGUUUGUGACUUGGAGUCAUCCAGAUCUGUGUCAAAGCUAGCAUCGAUGUAACCCGUUACGACGAGCUCUUCGGCACCUCCAUAAAUGAGAAACAUAUCCUUAGUCCUUUUCAGGUACUUCAGGAUAUUCUUGACCGCUGUCCAUUUUUCCAUACCAGGAUCACUUUGGUACCUCCCUACCAAACUUAUGGCAAGGUUCACAUCAGAUCUGGUACAUAGCAUGGCAUACAUAAUAGAGCCUACGGCCGAGGCAUAGGGGAUGACACUCAUCUUUUCUCUAUCUUCUGCCGAUGUUGGGCAUUGAGCUGCGCUCAAUCUCACACCUUGCAAUACAAGCAAGAACCCCUUCUUGGACUGAUUCAUAUUGAACUUCUUCAAUAUCUUGUCAAGGCAUGUGCUUUGUGAAAGACCAAUGAGGCGUCUCGAUCUAUCUCUAUAGAUCUUGAUGCCUAAUAUGUAAGCAGCUUCUCUAAGGUCCUUCAUAGAAAAACAUUUAUUCAAGUAGGCCUUUAUGCUUUCCAAAAGUUCUAUAUCAUUUCCCAUCAAUAGUAUGUCAUCCACAUAUAGUAUGAGAAAAGCUACAGAGCUCCCAAUCACUUUUUUUGUAAAUACAGGCUUCUCCAUAAAUCUGUAUAAACCCAAAACGCUUUGAUCAUUUCAUCAAAGCGAAUGUUCCAACUCUAAGAUACUUCUUUCGAGAGAAACUCUUUCUCCAGAAAGGAUCCAUUCUUGGCAACAAAGAUCUUGCCCUCGGAUCUAAGGUAGAAGGUAUACCCAAUAGUUUCCUUAGGGUAUCCUAUGAAGACGCAUUUUUCCGAUUUGGGUUCGAGCUUUUCAGGUUGAAGUUUCUUGACAUAAGCAUCGCAUCCCCAAACUUUGAGAAACGACAGCUUAGGUUUCUUCCCAAACCAUAAUUCAUACGGUGUCGUCUCAACGGAUUUAGAUGGUGCCCUAUUUAAAGUGAAUGCGGUAGUCUCUAAAGCAUAACCCCAAAAUGACAGCGGUAGAUCGGUAAGAGACAUCAUAGAUCGCACUGCAUCCAAUAGAGUGCGAUUACGACGUUAGGAGACACCAUUUCGCUGAGGUUUUCCAGGCGGCGUGAGUUGUGAAACAAUUCCAUAUUUCCUUAAGUGUGUGCCAAACUCGUGACUCAAAUAUUCUCCUCCAUGAUCUGAUCGUAGGAACUUUAUUUUCCUAUCACGUUGAUUCUCUACCUCGCUCUGAAAUUCCAUGAACUUUUCAAAGGUCUCAGACUUCUCUUUCAUUAAGUAGACAUACCCAUAUCUACUUAAGUUAUCAGUAAGGGUGAGAACAUAAUGAUAGCCACCGCGAGCCUCAACGCUCAUUGGACUGCAUACAUCAAUAUGUAUCAUUUCCAACAAGUUGGUUGCUUGCUCCAUCGUUUCGGAGAACGGAGUCUUGGUCAUUUUGCCCAUGAGGCAUGGUUCGCACGUGUCAAAUGAUUCAUAACCAAGAGACUCCAAAAGUCCAUCUACAUGGAGUUUCUUCCUGCGUUUGACACCAAUGUGACCAAGGCGGCAGUGCCACAAGUAUGUGGGACUAUCAUUAUCAACCUUACAUCUUUCGGCAUUCACACUAUGAAUAUGUGUAACAUCACGUUCGAGAUUCAAUAAAAAUAAACCAUUGACCAGCGGGGCAUGACCAUAACACAUAUCUCUCAUAUAAAUAGAACAACUAUUAUUCUCGGAUUUAAAUGAGUAGCCAUCUCACAUCAAACGAGAUCCAGAUACAAUGUUCAUGCUCAAAGCUGGUACUAAAUAACAAUUAUUGAGGUUUAAAACUAAUCCCGAAGGUAGAUGUAGAGGUAGCGUGCCGACGGCGAUCACAUCGACCUUGGAACCAUUCCCGACGUGCAUCGUUACCUCAUCCUUCGCAGUCUUCGCUUAUUCUGCGGCUCCUGUUUUGAGUUACAAAUGUGAGCAACUGCACCGGUAUCAAAUACCCAGGAGCUACUACGAGCGCGGUAAGGUACACAUCAAUAACAUGUAUAUCAUAUAUACCUUUGAUGUUGCCGGCCUUCUUAUCCACUAAGUACUUGGGGCAGUUCCGCUUCCAGUGACCAUUUCCCUUGCAAUAAAAGCACUCAGUCUCAGGCUUGGGUCCAUUCUUUGGCUUCUUCCCGGCAACUGACUUAUCGGGCGCGGCAACUCCCUUGCCGUCCUUCUUGAAGUUCUUCUUACCCUUGCCUUUCUUGAAACUAGUGGUCUUAUUCACCAUCAACACUUGAUGUUCCUUUUUGAUCUCCACCUCUGCUGAUUUCAGCAUCGAAUAUAACUCAGGAAUGGACUUCUCCAUCCCUUGCAUAUUGUAGUUCAUCACAAAGCUCUUGUAGCUAGGUGGAAGCGACUGGAGGAUUCUGUCAAUGGAAGAUUAAGUCCCAGCUGAGACAAGCGGUUGUGCAACCCAGACAUUUUGCGCAUAUGCUCACUGACAGAACUAUUUUCCUCCAUCUUACAACUGUAGAACUUGUCGGAGACUUCAUAUCUCUCAACCCGAGCAUGAGCUUGGAAAACCAUUUUCAACUCUUGGAACAUCUCAUAUGCUCUGUGUUGCUCAAAAUGCUUUUGGAGCCUCGAUUCUAAGCUGUAAAGCAUGCUGCACUGAACUAGGGAGUAAUCAUCAACACGCGACUGCCAGGCGUUCAUAACGUCUUGAGUUACGGGGAAAAUGGGUGCGUCACCUAGUGGUGCUUCAAGGACAUAUGCUUUCUUGGCAGCUAUGAGGAUGAUCCUCAAGUGACGGACCCAGUCCGUAUAGUUGCUUCCAUCAUCUUUCAGCUUGGUUUUCUCUCGGAACACAAUGAGGUUGAGGGCAACAUUAGCGUGGGCCACUGGAUCUACAGGAUAGAUUGUAAAGAAAAUUUUACACUAAGUCCAUGAUAAUUAAGUUCAUCUAAUCAAAUUAUUUAAUAAACUCCCACUCAGAUAGACAUCCCUCUAGUCAUCUAAGUGAUACAUGAUCCGAAUUGACUAGGCCGUGUCCGAUCAUCACGUGAGACGGACUAGUCAUCAACGGUGAUCAUCUCUAUGUUGAUCACAUCUACCAUACGACUCAUGUUCGACCUUUUGGUCUGUCGUGUUCCGAGGCCAUGUCUGUACAUGCUAGGCUCGUCAAGUCAACCUAAGUGUUUCGCAUGUGUAAAUAUGGCUUACACCCGUUGUAUGUGAACGUUAGAAUCAAUCACACCCGAUCAUCACGUGGUGCUUUGAAACAACGAACUUUCGCAACGGUGCAUAGUUAAGGGGAACAAAUUUCUUGAAAUUUUAGUGAGGGGUCAUCUAAUUUAUGCUACUAUCGUUCUAAGCAAUAAGAUCUAAACAUGACAGACAUCACAUGCAAAUCAUAAAGUGACAUGAUAUGGCCAAUAUCAUCUUGCACCUUUGCUCUACAUCUUUGAGGCGCGGCAUGAUCACCAUCGUCACCGGCAUGACACCUUGAUCUCCAUCAUCAUGUCUCCAUGAAGUUGUCUUGCCAACUAUUACUUCUACUACUAUUGCUAACGGUUAGCAAUAAAGUAAAGUAAUUACAUGGCGCUUAUAUUGACUCGCAGGUCAUAUAAUAAAUUAAGACAACUCCUAUGGCUCUUGCCAGUUGUCAUACUCAUCGACAUGCAAGUCGCGAUUCCUAUUACAAGAACAUGAUCAAUCUCAUACAUCACAUAUAUAAUUCAUCACAUCCUUUUGGCCAUACCACAUCACAUAGCAUACCCUGCAAAAACAAGUUAGACGUCCUCCAAUUGUUGUUGCAUGUUUUACGUGGCUGCUAUGGGUUUCUAGUAAGAAUGUUUCUUACCUACGCAAAAGCCACAACAGUGAUAUGCCAAUUGCUUUUUACCCUUCAUAAGGACCCUCUUCAUCGAAUCUGAUCCGACUAAAGUAGGAGAGACAGACCCCCGCUAGCCACCUUAUGCAACAAGUGCAUGUCAGUUGGUGGAACCUGUCUCAUGUAAGAGUACGUGUAAGGUCGGUACGGACCGCUUCAUCCCACAAUGUCGCUGAAUCAAUAUAAGACUAGCAACGGUAAGCAAAUUGACCAAAUCAUCGCCCACAACUACUUGUGUUCUACUCGUGCAUAGAAUCUACGCAUAGGCCUAGCUCAUGAUGCCACUAUUGGGGAACGUAGUAAUCAUUCAAAAAAUCCCUACAUGUCACCAAGAUCAAUCUAGGAGAUGUUGUUGGGGAACGUAGUAAUUUAAAAAAAAUUCCUACGCACACGCAAGAUCAUGGUGAUGCAUAGCAACGAGAGGGGAGAGUAUUGUCCACGUACCUUCGUAGACCGUAAGCGGAGCGUUAUGACAACGCGGUUGAUGUAGUCGUACGUCUUCACGAUCCGACCGAUCCAAGUACCGAACGUACGGCACCUUCGAGUUCAGCACACGUUCAGCUCGAUGACGAUCCCCGGACUCCGAUCCAGCAAAGUGUCGGGGAUGAGUUCCGUCAGCACGACGGCGUGGUGACGAUGAUGAUGUUCUACCGGCGCAGGGCUUCGCCUAAACUCCGCAAUGAUAUGACCGAGGUGGAAUAUGGUGGAGGGGGGCACCGCACACGGCUAAGGAACGAUCUUGAAGAUCAACUUGUGUGUCCUAGGGUGCCCCCCUGCCCCCGUAUAUACAGGAGCAAGGGGGAGGCCGGCCGGCCCUAGGGGGCGCGCCAAGGAGGAGGAGUCCUCCUCCUAGUAGGAGUAGGACUCCCUCUUUCCUACUCCUACUAGGAGGGGGAAAGGAAGGGGGAGAGGGAGAGGGAAAGAGGGGGGCGCCGCCCCCCCUCUCCUAGUCCAAUUCGGACCAGAGGGGGAGGGGGCGCGCGGCCCAUCCUAGCUGCCCCUCUCUCUCUCCACUAAAGCCCAUAAGGCCCAUUACUUCUCCCGGGGGGUUCCAGUAACCCUCCGGCACUCCGGUUUUCUCCGAAAACCCCCGGAACACUUCCGGUGUCCGAAUAUAGUCGUCCAAUAUAUCAAUCUUUAUGUCUCGACCAUUUCGAGUUUCCUCGUCAUGUCCGUGAUCACAUCCGGGACUUCGAACAAACUUCGGUACAUCAAAACUUAUAAACUCAUAAUAAAACUGUCAUCGUAACGUUAAGCGUGCGGACCCUACGGGUUCGAGAACUAUGUAGACAUGACCUAGAACUAUUCUCGGUCAAUAACCAAUAGCGGAACCUGGAUGCCCAUAUUGGCUCCUACAUAUUCUACGAAGAUCUUUAUCGGUCAAACCGCAUAACAACAUACGUUGUUCCCUUUGUCAUCGGUAUGUUACUUGCCCGAGAUUCGAUCGUCGGUAUCCAAUACCUAGUUCAAUCUCGUUACCGGCAAGUCUCUUUACUCGUUAUGUAAUGCAUCAUUCCGUAACUAACUCAUUAGCUACAUUGCUUGCAAGGCUUAUAGUGAUGUGCAUUACCGAGAGGACCCAGAGAUACCUCUCCGACAAUCGGAGUGACAAAACCUAAUAUCAAAAUACGCCAACCCAACAUGUACCUUUGGAGACACCUGUAGUACUCCUUUAUAAUCACCUAGUUACGUUGUGACGUUUGGUAGCAACCAAAGUGUUCCUCCGGUAAACGGGAGUUGCAUAAUCUCAUAGUUACAGGAACAUGUAUAAGUCACGAAGAAAGCAAUAGCAACAUACUAAACGAUCAAGUGCUAGGCUAACGGAAUGGGUCAUGUCAAUCACAUCAUUCUCCUAAUGAUGUGAUCCCGUUAAUCAAAUGACAACACAUGUCUAUGGUUAGGAAACAUAACCAUCUUUGAUUAAUGAGCUAGUCAAGUAGAGGCAUACUAGUGACUAUAUGUUUGUCUAUGUAUUCACACAUGUAUCAUGUUUCCGGAUAAUACAAUUCUAGCAUGAAUGAUAAACAUUUAUCAUGAUAUGAGGAAAUAAAUAAUAACUUUAUUAUUGCCUCUAGGGCAUAUUUCCUUCAGACUCCCACUUGCACUAGAGUCAAUAUUUACACAGUAAUGAUUCUAACACCCAUGGAGUCUUGGUGUUGAUCAUGUUUUGCUCGUGAAAGAGGCUUAGUCAACAGGUCUACAACAUUCAGAUCCGUAUGUAUCUUGCAAAUCUCUAUGUCUCCCACCUGGACUUGGUCCCGGAUGGAAUUGAAGCGUCUCUUUAUGUGCUUGGUCCUCUUGUGAAAUCUGGAUUCCUUUGCCAAGGCAAUUGCACCAGUAUUGUCACAGAAGAUCUUCAUUGGUCCCGAUGCACUAGGUAUGACACCUAGAUCGGAAAUGAACUCCUUCAUCCAGACUCCUUCAUUUGCUGCUUCCGAAGCAGCUAUAUACUCCGCUUCACAUGUAGAUCCCGCCACGAAGCUUUGUUUAGAACUGCACCAACUUACAGCUCCACCGGUUAAUAAAAACACGUAUCCGUUUUGCGAUUUAGAAUCGUCCGGAUCAGUGUCAAAGCUUGCAUCGAUGUAACCAUUUACGACUAGCUCUUUGUCACCUCCAUAUACGAGAAACAUAUCCUUAGUCCUUUUUAGGUAUUUCAGGAUGUUCUUGACCGCUGUCCAGUGAUCCACUCCUGGAUUACUUUGGUACCUUCCUGCCAAGCUUAUUGCUAAGCACACGUCAGGUCUGGUACACAACAUUGCAUACAUGAUAGAGCCUAUGGCUAAAGCAUAGGGAACAUCUUUCAUUUUCUCUCUAUCUUCUGCUGUGGUCGGGCAUUGAGUCUCACUCAACUUCACACCUUGUAGUACGGGCAAGAACCCUUUCUUUGCCUGAUCCAUUUUGAACUUUUUCAAAACUUUAUCAAGGUAUGUGCUUUGUGAAAGUCCUAUUAAGCGUCUUGAUCUAUCUCUAUAAAUCUUGAUGCCCAAUAUGUAAGCAGCUUCACCGAGGUCUUUCAUAGAAAAACUUUCAUUCAAGUAUCCCUUUAUGCUAUCCAGAAAUUCUAUAUCAUUUCCAAUUAAUAAUAUGUCAUCUACAUAUAAUAUCAGAAAUGCUACAGAGCUCCCACUCACUUUCUUGUAAAUACAGGCUUCUCCAAAAGUCUGUAUAAAACCAUAUGCUUUGAUCACACUAUCAAAGCGUUUAUUCCAACUCCGAGAUGCUUGCACCAGUCCAUAAAUGGAUCGCUGGAGCUUGCACACUUUGUUAGCAUCUUUUGGAUCAACAAAACCUUCUGGUUGCAUCAUAUACAACUCUUCUUCCAGAAAUCCAUUCAAGAAUGUAGUUUUGACAUCCAUUUGCCAAAUUUCAUAAUCAUAAAAUGCAGCAAUUGCUAACAUGAUUCGGACAGACUUAAGCAUCGCUACGGGUGAGAAAGUCUCAUCGUAGUCAACCCCUUGAACUUGUCGAAAACCUUUUGCAACAAGUCGAGCUUUAUAGACAGUUACAUUACCAUUAGUGUCAGUCUUCUUCUUAAAGAUCCAUUUAUUCUCAAUGGCUUGCCGAUCAUCGGGCAAGUCAACCAAAGUCCAUACUUUGUUCUCAUACAUGGAUCCCAUCUCAGAUUUCAUGGCCUCUAGCCAUUUUGCGGAAUCUGGGCUCAUCAUCGCUUCCUCAUAGUUCGUAGGUUCAUCAUGGUCAAGUAACAUGACUUCCAGAAUAGGAUUACCGUACCACUCUGGUGCGGAUCUUACUCUGGUAGACCUACGAGGUUCAGUAGAAACUUGAUCCGAAGUUUCAUGAUCAAUAUCAUUAGCUCCCUCACUAAUUGGUGUAGUUGUCACAGGAACUGGUUCUUGUGAUGAACUACUUUCCAAUAAGGGAGCAGGUACAGUUACCUCGUCAAGUUCUACUUUCCUCCCACUCACUUCUUUCGAGAGAAACUCCUUUUGUAGAAAGGAUCCGAAUUUAGCAAUGAAAAUCUUGCCCUCAGAUCUGUGAUAGAAGGUGUACCCAACAGUCUCUUUCGGGUAUCCUAUGAAGAAACAUUUCUCCGAUUUGGGUUCGAGCUUAUCUGGUUGAAGUUUCUUCACAUAAGCAUCGCAGCCCCAAACUUUAAGAAACGACAACUUUGGUUUCUUGCCAAACCAUAGUUCAUGAGGCGUCGUAUCAACGGAUUUUGAUGGUGCCCUAUUUAACGUGAAUGCGGCCGUCUCUAAAGCAUAUCCCCAAAACGAUAGCGGUAAAUCAGUAAGAGACAUCAUAGAUCGCACCAUAUCUAGUAAAGUACGAUUACGACGUUCGGACACACCAUUUCGUUGUGGUGUUCCGGGUGGCGUGAGUUGCGAAACUAUUCCGCAUUGUUUAAAAUGUAAACCAAACUCGUAACUCAAAUAUUCUCCUCCAUGAUCAGAUCGUAGAAAUUUUAUUUUCUUGUUACGAUGAUUUUCCACUUCACUCUGAAAUUCUUUGAACUUUUCAAAUGUUUCAGACUUGUGUUUCAUUAAGUAGAUAUACCCAUAUCUUCUUAAAUCAUCUGUGAAGGUGAGAAAAUAACGAUACCCGCCGCGAGCCUCAACAUUCAUUGGACCACAAACAUCAGUAUGUAUGAUUUCCAACAAAUCAGUUGCUUACUCCAUAGUUCAGGAGAACGGCGUUUUAGUCAUCUUGCCCAUGAGGCACGGUUCGCAAGUACCAAGUGAUUCAUAAUCAAGUGAUUCCAAAAGCCCAUCAGUAUGGAGUUUCUUCAUGCGCUUUAUACCGAUAUGACCUAAACGGCAGUGCCACAAAUAAGUUGCACUAUCAUUAUCAACUUUGCAUCUUUUGGCUUCAACACUAUGAAUAUGUGUAUCACUACUAUCGAGAUUCAAUAAAAAUAGACCACUCUUCAAGGGUGCAUGACCAUAAAAGAUAUUACUCAUAUAAAUAGAACAACCAUUAUUCUCUGACUUAAAUGAAUAACUGUCUCACAUCAAACAAGAUCCAGAUAUAAUGUUCAUGCUCAACACCGGCACUAAAUAACAAUUAUUUAGGUCUAAAACUAAUCCUGAUGGUAGAUGUAGAGGUAGCGUGCCGACCGCGAUCACAUCGACUUUGGAACCAUUUCCCACGCGCAUCGUCACCUCGUCCUUAGCUAAUCUUCGCUUAAUCCAUAGUCCCUGUUUCGAGUUGCAAAUAUUAGCAACAGAACCAGUAUCAAAUACCCAGGUACUACUGCGAGCAUUAGUAAGGUACACAUCAAUAACAUGUAUAUCACAUAUACCUUUGUCCACUUUGCCAUCCUUCUUAUCCGCCAAAUACUUGGGGUAGUUCUGCUUCCAGUGUCCAGUCUGCUUGCAGUAGAAGCACUCAGUCUCAGGCUUAGGUCCAGACUUGGGUUUCUUCUCUUGAGCAGCAACUUGUUUGCUGUUCUUCUUGAAGUUCCCCUUCUUCUUCCCUUUGCCCUUUUUCUUGAAACUGGUGGUCUUGUUGACCAUCAACACUUGAUGCUCCUUCUUGAUUUCUACCUCCGUGGCUUUUAGCAUUGCGAAGAGCUCGGGAAUAGUCUUGUCCAUCCCUUGUAUAUUAUAGUUCAUCACGAAGCUCUUGUAGCUUGGUGGCAGUGAUUGAAGAAUUCUGUCAAUGACACUAUCAUCAGGAAGAUUAACUCCUAGUUGAAUCAAGUGAUUAUUAUACCCAGACAUUUUGAGUAUGUGUUCACUGACAGAACUAUUCUCCUCCAUCUUGCAGCUAUAGAACUUAUUGGAGACUUCAUAUCUCUCAAUCCGGGCAUUUGCUUGAAAUAUUAACUUCAACUCCUGGAACAUCUCAUAUGCUCCAUGACGUUCAAAGCAUCGUUGAAGACCCGGUUCUAAGCCGUAAAGCAUGGCACACUGAACUAUCGAGUAGUCAUCAGCUUUGCUCUGCCAGAUGUUCUUAACGUCGUCAGUUGCAUCAGCAGCAGGCCUGGCACCCAGCGGUGCUUCCAGGACGUAAUUCUUCUAUGCAGCAAUGAGGAUAAUCCUCAGGUUACGGACCUAGUCCGUGUAAUUGCUACCAUAUCUUUCAACUUUGCUUUCUCAAGGAACGCAUUAAAAUUCAACGGAACAAUAGCACGAGCCAUCUAUCUACAACAAACAUAGACAAGCAAAAUACUAUCAUGUACUAAGUUCAUGAUAAAUUUAAGUUCAAUUAAUCAUAUUACUUAAGAACUCCCACUUAGAUAGACAUCCCUCUAAUCCUCUAAGUGAUUACGUUAUCCAUAUCAACUACACCAUGUCCGAUCGUCACGUGAGAUGGAGUAGUUUCAACGGUGAACAUCAAUAUGUUGAUCAUAUCUACUAUAUGAUUCACGCUCGACCUUUCGGUCUCCGUGUUUCGAGGCCAUAUCUGUUAUAUGCUAGGCUCGUCAAGUUUAACCUGAGUAUUCCGCGUGUGCAACUGUUUUGCACCCGUUGUAUUUGAACGUAGAGCCUAUCACACCCGAUCAUCACGUGGUGUCUCAGCACGAAGAACUUUCGCAACGGUGCAUACUCAGGGAGAACACUUCUUGAUAAUUUUAGUGAGAGAUCAUCUUAAAAUGCUAUCGUCAAUCAAAGCAAGAUAAGAUGCUUAAAGGAUAAACAUCACAUGCAAUCAAUAUAAGUGAUAUGAUAUGGCCAUCAUCAUCUUGUGCUUGUGAUCUCCAUCUUCAAAGCACCGUCGUGAUCACCAUCGUCACCGACGCGACACCUUGAUCUCCAUCGUAGCAUCGUUGUCGUUACGCCAUCUAUUGCUUCUAUGACUAUCGCUACCGCUUAGUGAUAAAGUAAAGCAAUUACAGGGUGUUUGCAUUUCAUACAAUAAAGCGACAACCAUAUGGCUCCUGCCAGUUGCCGAUCACUUCGGUUACAAAACAUGAUCAUCUCAUACAAUAAAAUAUAGCAUCAUGUCUUGACCAUAUCACAUCACAACAUGCCCUGCAAAAACAAGUUAGACGUCCUCUACUUUGUGGUUGCAAAUUUUACGUGGCUGCUACGGGCUGAGCAAGAACCGUUCUUACCUACGCAUUAAAACCACAACGAUAGUUCGUCAAGUUAGUGCUAUUUUAACCUUCGCAAGGACCGGGCGUAGCCACACUCGAUUCAGCUAAAGUGAGAGAGACAGACACCCGCCAGUCACCUUUAAGCACGAGUGCUCGUAACGGUGAAACCAGUCUCGCGUAAGCGUACGCGUAAUGUCGGUCCGGGCCGCUUCAUCUCACAAUACAACUGAGCCAAAGUAUGACAUGCUGGUAAGCAGUAUGACUUGUAUCGCCCACAACUCACUUGUGUUCUACUCGUGCAUAUGACAUCUACGCAUAAAACCAGGCUCUAAUACCACUGUUGGGGAACGUAGUAAUUUAAAAAAAAUUCCUACGCACACGCAAGAUCAUGGUGAUGCAUAGCAACGAGAGGGGAGAGUAUUGUCCACGUACACUCGUAGACCGUAAGCGGGAGCGUUACGACAACAUAGUUGAUGUAGUCGUACGUCUUCACGAUCCAACCGAUCCAAGUACCGAACGUACGGCACCUCCGAGUUCAGCACACGUUCAGCUCGAUGACGAUCCCCAGACUCUGAUCCAGCAAAGUGUCGGGGAUGAGUUCCGACAGCACGACGGUGUGGUGACGAUGAUGAUGUUCUACUGGCGCAGGGCUUCGCCUAAACUCCGCGACGAUAUGACCGAGGUGGAAUAUGGUGGAGGGGGGCACCGCACACGGCUAAGGAACGAUCUUGAAGAUCAACUUGUGUGUCCUAGGGUGCCCCCCGCCCCCGUAUAUAAAGGAGCAAGGGGGAGGCCGGCCGGCCCUAGGGGGCGCGCCAAGGAGGAGGAGUCCUCCUCCUAGUAGGAGUAGGACUCCCUCUUUCCUACUCCUACUAGGAGGGGGAAAGGAAGGGGGAGAGGGAGAGGGAAAGAGGGGGGCGCCGCCCCCCUCACCUAGUCCAAUUCGGACCAGAGGGGGAGGGGGCGCACGGCCCAUCCUGGCUGCCCCUCUCUCUCUCCACUAAAGCCCAUAAGGCCCAUUACUUCUCCCAGGGGGGUUCCGGUAACCCUCCGGCACUCCGGUUUUCUCCGAAAACCCCCGAAACACUUCCGGUGUCCGAAUAUAGUCGUCCAAUAUAUCAAUCUUUAUGUCCCGACCAUUUCGAGACUCCUCAUCAUGUCCGUGAUCACAUCCAGGACUUCGAACAAACUUCGGUACAUCAAAACUUAUAAACUCAUAAUAAAACUGUCAUCGUAACGUUAAGCGUGCGGACCCUACGGGUUCGAGAACUAUGUAGACAUGACCUAGAACUAUUCUCGGUCAAUAACCAAUAGCGGAACCUGGAUGCCCAUAUUGGCUCCUACAUAUUCUAUGAAGAUCUUUAUCGGUCAAACCGCAUAACAACAUACGUUGUUCCCUUUGUCAUCGGUAUGUUACUUGCCCGAGAUUCGAUUGUCGGUAUCCAAUACCUAGUUCAAUCUCGUUACCGGCAAGUCUCUUUACUCGUUACAUAAUGCAUCAUUCUGUAACUAAAUCAUUAUCAACAUUGCUUGCAAGGCUUAUAGUGAUGUGCAUUACCGAGAGGGCCCAGAGAUACCUCUCCGACAAUCGGAGUGACAAAACCUAAUCUCGAAAUACGCCAACCCAACAUGUACCUUUGGAGACACCUGUAGUACUCCUUUAUAAUCAUCCAGUUACGUUGUGACGUUUGGUAGCACCCAAAGUGUUCCUCCGGUAAACGGGAGUUGCAUAAUCUCAUAGUUACAGGAACAUGUAUAAGUCAUGAAGAAAGCAAUAGCAACAUACUAAACGAUCAAGUGCCAGGCUAACGGAAUGGGUCAUGUCAAUCACAUCAUUCUCCUAAUGAUGUGAUCCCGUUAAUCAAAUGACAACACGUGUCUAUGGUUAGGAAACAUAACCAUCUUUGAUUAAUGAGCUAGUCAAGUAGAGGCAUACUAGUGACUAUAUGUUUGUCUAUGUAUUCACACAUGUAUCAUGUUUCUGGUUAAUACAAUUCUAGCAUGAAUAAUAAACAUUUAUCAUGAUAUGAGGAAAUAAAUAAUAACUUUAUUAUUGCCUCUAGGGCAUAUUUCCUUCAGAUGCUAGCAAUGAGAGAGAGGGAGUGCAUCUUCAUACCCUUGAAGAUCGCUAAGCGGAAGUGUUACGAGAACGCGGUUGAUGGUGUCGUACUCGCGGCAAUUCAAAUCACGGAAGAUCCGAUCCAAGCGUCGAACGGACGGCGCCUCCACAUUUAACACAUGUACAACCCUGGGACGUGUCCUCCUUCUUGAUCCAGCAAGGGGGAAGGAGAAGUUGAGGGAGAACUCCGGCAGCACGAUGGCAUGGUGGUGGUGGAGCUCGUGGUUCUCCGGCAGGGCUUCGCCAAGCACUAGGAGGAGGAGGAGGAGGUGUAGGAGGGGUAAGGGCUGCGCCAGGGGGAGAGGUGCUGCUGCCCUCCCACCCCAUCUAUUUAUAGGGUGAAGGGGAGAGGGAGCCAGCCCCCCUAGAUGCAUCUAGAUGGGGGGGCAAGGGGGGGUGCUUGCCCCCAAGUUGGUGGGAGGCGCCCCCACCCCUAGGGUUUCCAACCCUAGGCGCCUUGGGGCCUUGGGGGGCGCACCAAUCCACUAGGGGGCUGGUUCCCACCCAUAUUCAUCCCACUUGGUCCCCCAGCGUAGGUGGCCCCACUCGAUGGACUCCCGGACACCUUUAGGUGGUCCCGGUACAAUACCGAUAACCCCUGAAACAUUUCCGGUGACUAAAAAUGGACUUCCCAUAUAUAAAUAUUCACCUCCGGACCAUUCUGGACUCCUCAUGACGUCCGGAACCUCAUCCGGGACUCCGAACAACUUUCGGUAACCACAUACAAUUUCCCAUUACAACUCUAGCGUCACUGAACCUUAAGUGUGUAGACCUUACGGGUUCAGGAACCAUGAAGACAUGACCGAGACAUCUCUCCGGCCAAUAACCAAUAGCGGGAUCUGGAUACCCAUACUGGCUCCCACAUGUUCCACGAUGAUCUCAUCGGAUGAACCACGAUGUCAGGAAUUCAAUCAAUCCCGUAUACAAUUCCCUUUGUCCAUCGGUAUGUUACUUGCCCGAGAUUCGAUUGUACGUAUCCCCGUACCUCAUUCAAUCUCAUUACCGGAAGGUCUCGGUCCCAUCGAAAUGAGCGAAUCGGUCCCACCAAGUUUGUCUGGCCAACUCUCUAUGUGCCUAUUACUAAAAUCUGUUCCACCGAGUUCAUGUGAUCGGUCACACCGAGAUUAUGUUAUUCCCUAACCCUAAUGCAUCGGCCUCACCGAGUUGAUCAUAUCGUUCCCAUCAAAAAUCCUAACAUUCAUAUUUUUACCUAAAUCAGUCUAACCGAGUUUUACCAUUCGGUCUCACCGAGUUUGGGAAUCUGUGUGUAACGGUUAGAUUUUUUGUGGAGGCUAUAUAUAUCCCUCCACCCAUUAUUCAUUCCUGGAGAGAGCCAUCAGAAUGUGCCUACACUUCCACCAUUCAUUUUUUGAGAGAGAACCACCUACUCAUGUAUUGAGACCAAGACAUUCCAUUCCAACCACAAGAAUCUUGAUCCCUAGCAUUCCCCAAGUUGCUUUCCACUCAAAUCAUCUUUCCACCAUAGCCAAAUCUAUGAGAGGGAGUUGAGUGUUGGGGAGACUAUCAUUUGAAGCACAAGAGCAAGGAGUUCAUCAUCAAUGCACCAUCUAUUACCUUGUGGAGAGUGGUGUCUACUAGAUUGGUUAGGUGUCACUUGGGAGCCUCUGUCAAGAUUGUGGAGUUGAACCACGGAGUUUGUAAGGGCAAGGAGAUCGCCUACUUCAUGAAGAUCUACCCAAGUGAGGUAAGUCCUUCGUGGGCGAUAGCCAUGGUGGGAUAGACAAGGUUGCUUCUUCGUGGACCCUUCGUGGGUGGAGCCCUCCGUGGACUCGCGCAGUCGUUACCCUUCGUGGAUUGAAGUCUUUAUCAGCGUGGAUGUACGAUAGCACCACCUAUCGGAACCACGCCAAAAAUCUCUGUGUCAACAUUGUGUUUGCUCCCUCCAAACUCCUCUCAUUUACUUUCUUGCAAGUUGCGUGCUUUAGUUUCCGCUGCUCAUAUACUCUUUGCAUGCUUGCUUGAAUUGUAUUGUGAUUGCUUGACUUGUGCUAAGUUGCUAAAAUCUGCCAAGAAUUAAAAUUGGGAAAAGGCUAGGUUUUUAAUUGCUCAAGUAGUCUAAUCAGCCCCCCCCCCUCUCGACAUACUUUCGAUCCUACACAUCCCAAUUGCCAGCCACUCUCUCAUGAAUGAUUAGUGAAUAAACACUAAUCAUGAGAUAACCCACCUAGCAUGGAAGAUACUGACAGCCCCUAGUUGCUACAUGAGCGAUUCAGGCAUAUAAAACAGAUUAUUAUUUGAAGGUUUAGAGUUUGGCACAUGCAAAUUUACUAGGAAUGACAGGUAAAUACCGCAUAUAGGUAGAUAUGGUGGACAUUCAUGGAAGAAACUUGGUUCAAGGAUUUUGGAUGCACAAGCAGUAUUCCCGAGUACAUAAAUUUUGGCUACGAAGGAUUCUAAAUAGCAAGCACCACAUGUUGGAGGAUCCAUAACAAUAUAACUUCUAUACAAAUAUACCCAAGCAUAACUCAUUAUGUUGUCUUCCUUGUACAACUUCAACUAAUUUGCUCAGGUUUGAAAAAAAUUAAUGGGGCUCACAAUCAUAGAAGAUGUCCAAGAUAGUAUAUUUAUAUGUGAAAUCUCUCUUCCUUCAAUAUUAUUUCAUGAAUUGUUCAAGUGACCAAUACAAUGUUUGGUAACUUUCAAUAAAUUUACCACCUCUACUUCUUAUAUGUGAAGUCAUUACUCCCAUGAAGUAAGCAUAUGAAACAUAUAUAAUUUCAGAUUUAUGACAUUCAAAUCAUUCAACCAUUUACUCAUAGGAUGUAAGUGAAGCACGUGAGUAAAUGACAAACUACUCCAAAAGAUAUGAGUGAAGAUCAAUGAGUAGUCAAAUAAUUAUUUAGCUAUGUGAGGACUCUCUCUCAUUUAAGUAUUUUGGAUCUUAAGUACUUUGUUCAAACAGCAAGCAAAUCCUACUAAAAUAAAAUGACGCUCCAAGCAAAACACAUAUCAUGUGGUGAAUAAAAAUAUAGCUCCAAGUAAAGUUACCUAUGAACAAAGACGAAAGAGGGGAUGCCAUCCGGGCAAUCCCAAGCUUAGUUGCUUGGGUAUUCCUUGAAUAUUACCUUGGGGUGCCUUGGGCAUCCCCAAGCUUAGGCUCCUGCCAAUCCUUGUUCCUUAUUCCAUCGAAACUUCACCCAAAACUUGAAAACUUCACAAUGCAAAACUCAACAGAAAAUCUUAUGAGAUCCAUUAGUAUAAGAAAGAAAAUCACCACUUAUGUACUGUUGUGAACUCAUUCUAAAUUUAUAUUGGUGUUAUAUCUACUGUAUUCCAACUUAUCCAUUGUUCACACCCUCCGAUACUAGUCAUAGAUUCAUCAAAAUAAGCAAACAACACAUAGAAAACAGAAUCUGUUUAAAACAGAAUAUGUUUAAAAUAGAACAUUCUGUAGUAAUAUGAAAACUUUCCAUACUUCUGUAACUCCAAAAAUUCUGAAAAUUUAGUAAAAUCUAGGAAAUUUGUAUAUAAAUCGUGUGUAAAAAAUUCAGAUCAAAAUCACGUUUCGGUGAAUUUUCAAAAUUCCUGGACUGAGAGCAAAAGUUUUUGUUUUUGCACAGAAUCAAGCUAACUAUCACCAUAAACCAUCCCAAAGGUCUUACUUGGCACUUUAUUGAAACAAAAGCUAUAAACAUGAUUACUAAAUUAUCUUAAUCAUGUGAACACACAAAAACAGUAGGGGUAAAUGUUGGGUUGUCUCCCAACAAGUGUUUUUCUUUAAUGCCUUAUUAGCUAGGCAUGAUGAUUUCAAUGAUGCUCACAUAAAAGAUAAGAAUGGAAACACAAAGAGAGCAUCAUGAAGCAUAAUACUAGCACAUUUAAGUAUAACCCACUUUUUUAUGCAUAGGGAUUUUGUGAGCAAACAACUUAUGGGAACAAGAAUCAACUUGCAUAGGAAGGUAAAACAAGCAUAACUUCAAGAUUUUCAACACAUAGAGAGGAAACUUGAUAUUAUUGCAAUAUGUGGAAGGAUAAAUUCCUCCCUCAUAAUAAUUUUUAGUAGCAUCAUGAAUGAAUUCAACAAUAUAGCUAUCACACAAAGCAUUAUUUUCAUGAUCUACAAGCAUAGAAAUUUUACUACUCUCCACAUAAGCAAAAUUCUUCUCAUCAAUAGUAGUGGGAGCAAACUCAACAAAAUAACUAUCAUGGGACUGAAAAUUAAAGUCAAGAUGACAAGUUUCAUGGUUAUCAUUAUUCUUUAUAGCAUACAUGUCAUCACAAUAAUCAUCAUAGAUAGGAGGCAUGCUUUCAUCAUAAUAAAUUUGCUCAUCAAAACUUGGGGGACUAAAAAUAUCAUCUUCAUCAAACAUAGCAUCCCCAAGAUUAUGGCUUUGCAUAUCAUUAGCAUCAUGGAUAUUCAAAGAGUUCAUACUAAUAACAUUGCAAUCAUGCUCAUCAUUCAAAGAUUUUGUGUCAAACAUUUUAUAGACUUCUUCUUGUAACACUUGAGCACAAUUUUCCUUUCCAUCCUUUUCACGGAAGACAUUAAAAAGAUGAAGCGUAUGAGGAAACCUCAAUUCCAUUUUUUGUAGUUUUCUUUUAUAGACUAAACUAGUGAUAAAACAAGAAACUAAAAGAUUCGAUUGCAAGAUCUAAAGAUAUACCUUCAAGCACUAAUCUCCCCAGCAACGGCGGCAGAAAAGAGCUUGAUGUCUAAUACGCAACCUUCUUAUUGUAGACUCGUGUUGGGCCUCCAAGCGUAGAAUUUUGUAGGACAGUAGAAAAUUUCCCUCAAGUGGAUGACCUAAGGUUUAUCAAUCCAUGGGAGGCAUAGGAUGAAGAUGGUCUCUCUCAAACAACCCUGCAACCAAAUAACAAAGAGUCUCUUGUGUCCCCAACACACCCAAUACAAUGGUAAAUUGUAUAGGUGCACUAGUUCGGCAAAGAGAUGGUGAUACAAGCGUAAUAUGGAAAGUAGAUAUAUGUUUUUGUAAUCUAAAAAUAUAAAAACAGCAAGGUAAAUAGUAACGAAAGUGAGCAAAAACGGUAUUGCAAUGCUUAGAAACAAGGGCUAGAGUUCAUACUUUCACUAGUGCAAGUUCUCUCAACAAUGAUAAUAUAAUUAGAUCAUAUAAAAAUCCCUCAACAUGCAACAAAAAUUCACUCCAAAGUCACUAAUAGCGGAGAACAAACAAAGAAAUUAUUGUAGGGUACGAAACCACCUCAAAGUUACUCUUUCUGAUCGAUCUAUUGGGCUAUUCCUAUAAGUGCCACAAACAGCCCCAGAGUUCAUACUAAAAUAACACCUUAAGAUACACAUCAACCAAAACCCUAAUGUCACCUAGGCACUCCAUUUUCACCACGAGUACCCGCGAGUUUGAUUAUACGAUAUGCAUCACACAAUCUCAGAUUAAGCUAUUCAAACCAACACAAAGAACUUCAAAGAGUGCCCCAAAGUUUCCACCGGAGAGUCAAGACGAAAACGUGUGCCAACCCCUAUGCAUAAGUUCACAAGGUCACGGAACCCGCAAGUUGAUCACCAAAACACACAUCAAGUGGUUCACGUGAAUAUCCCAUUGUCACCACAGAUAUUCAUAUGCAAGACAUACAUCAAGUGUUCUCAAAUCCUUAAAGACUCAAUCUGAUAAUAUAACUUCAAAGGGAAAACUCAAUUCAUCACAAGAAGGUAGAGCGGGAGAAACACCAUAUGAUCCGACUAUAGUAACAAAGCUUGCGGUACAUCAAGAUCGUGCCAAAUCAAGAACACGAGAGAGAGAGAGAGAGAGAGAGAGAGAGAGAGAAAGAGAGAGAUCAAACAGAUAGCUACCGGUGCAUACCCUCAGCCCCGAGGGUGAACUACUCCCUCCUCGUCAUGAAGAUCGCCGGGAUGAUGAAGAUGGACACCGGUGAUGGAAUCCCCCUCCGGCAUGGUGCCGGAACGGGCUCCCGAUUGGUUUUUUGUGGCUACAGAGGCUUGCGGUGGCGGAACUCUCGAUCUAGGUUCUGUUCUGGAGGUUUUGGGAUUUAUAGGAAGUGCUGGCAUCAGGGACAAGUCAAGGGGGCCCACAAGGCGACGACAAGGACGGGGGGACGCCCUAGGGGGCGCACCCUCCACUCUUGUGGUGGCCUCUGGACUCUUCUCCGACAUCUUUUUGUUCCAAUAUUUUUUAUAUUUUCCAAAAAUAUUCUCCGUAAAUUUUCAGGUCAAUUGGACUUCGUUUGAUACUCCUUUUCUGUGAAACUCAAAAACAAGGAAAAAAUAGAAACUGACAUUGGGCUCUAGGUUAAUAGGUUAGUCCCAAAAAUCAUAUAAAAUAGCUUAUAGAUGCAUAUAAAACAUCCAAGAUAGAUAAUAUAAUAGCAUGGAACAAUCAAAAAUUAUAGAUACGUUGGAGACUUAUCAUCUCUCGGGCAGGAGGGCCGGGCCGAGUACUCCCGUAACGAUUUACUAGUGGGACACGUUUUUCAGGCCUAUGGGGCUAAGAAGGGAUGUUUCCGAAGGCUUGGCACGUACUCCAAGACUUAGAAGUCGUCUACAUCAUGAUUACCCUAGAUGUAACCAACCUAUGUGUAAACCCUAGACCCCCGGGCAUCUAUAUAAGUUGAGGGGGAGGGCUAGUAGACGACACACAGUGAUCUCGUGGUAGAUCAACCCAUAAUCUGUACUCCCUUGAAAUUAAUAUAAUCAAAGCAGGACGUAGGGUACUAUCUCUUCGAGCGAGCCCGAACCUGGGUAAGUUCAAGUGUCCCUGUUAUCAUCGCACCAAGGCUACCUGUUGGGAACCCCCUACCCGAGAGAUCUGCUAGAUUUUACUCCAUCAUUAGAAAGAUUCAGUUUUCAUGGGAGCAAAUUCACACCACAUAUUAAUAAUGUAUAUAUUCUGGGAGCAAAUUCACACGUCAUGCAUGUCAUAAUGAAAUAUAUGUUAACUAGGUUCCUAUAUUCAAAUUUAUGCAUAACCUUUUAUUUAUAAACUAGUGAAGGCUUUGGUAUACACCAAACCAAACUAGUCACACUCUAGAUGAGCUUAUCAAAUAUCAAAUCAUAUGUGUGCAAAGUAGAGUCUUCAAUUUUCCAUGUUCUUUGAUGAUUACUAUAACUAUGUUAUCUAAAGUAUAAGUACAAAUCAUGCACAUGUUGCCAAUUUGUUAAUGAACUCAAGUUGCAAGACACAUUUGGCAUACCCUACAAGUUUGUAUAAGCUUACCAAAUAAUACACUAGAAACGGAAAUUCAAUUCGGCUCCCGGGCUCAAAAAUAAUUUUCAAAAUGUCAAAAAAAUAAAGACAAAAUUUUUAUAUGUUGUUAAACACAUCCAAAUGCUACCUGCAAAUUUUGAGGCAAAAAAGUUAAGAAUUUUGGCCUGUGCCAAAAAAAAAAUAGAAUGAACACCAAAUGUUACCGCCAAAUGUCACCUCAAAUUUGUUUUAUUCACCGACGAAACACUGCUACUCCAUUUCGCAUGAAAAUUGUCAAGCAUGCUUAUGACACUAACACUAACAUCCAAAAAAUUCAUAAUUUUUUGAGAACAUUUACUAUUUUUUUCGCGUUACUGUUCACUCGAGAACAUGUGCUCCCGGGAGCCAAAACGCCCAUCCCCACUAGAAACCACUGUUAAUAUCAUAAUAUGUAUGUUGGAUUGUAUGCUUUACAAAUCUCUGUCAUGAUAUUUAAUGAUAUUAAUAUAUACGAACACACACAUGAAAAUGUAUAUUUAUACACGCUAUAGCUAACACUCCCUUUGUAACUUAAUUAAUAUAAGACGUUUCUUGACACAACGAUAGUGGCAAAAAACGUCUUAUAUCAAGUUACGGAGGGAGUAAUUUAAAAAAAUCAAAGAGAUUUUUUUUUAUAUUAUGCAAUUUAAAUUUAGGAGAAGCGAUUUUUUUUGUGAUAUACAUUUAAACUACAUAUCAACCGGAGAACACUAUAAGUAUUAUUUAGUGAAAUUUUUAUGUUGUUGACUACGCUAGCUAAGUAAUAUCAAAGUGUACUAAUUAAAGCUACAUUAUUAUACAACUAGUUUAAAUAAGUACAAAAGUUUAUUAUAAUGAUAUGUAUUUCACUACGCCUGGUGUCCUACCAGCCACCCCGAUCAGCACAUUCAAAAGCGCCUCUGAGAACUUCUUGUACGAGAGUUGAUGCGCCAGCCCGAGCCAUUGCGUGCCUUUUGCAAAUAGAUGACAAUCCUCUAUAUUAUUAGAACACAUAGAUGCAUGCAACAGCAGGAUGCAUUGAUCGACAAGACCGGUUGCAUGUACACUUACUACACGCAGUGUCUUGUCGUCGCCGUCGUAGUCCGUCCGAGCAAAGACCCCAUCUCUGGCUGACACAUCGCCACCGUUGAGCAGCACCACCACCACCAGCCCCACCAACAGCAAGGCACUCUUCAGUGCCAUCUCUCAUAGUGGCUGCCCACUCCCACUGAGAAUUAAUGUUCUGCUACUAAACACAAAAUAUUACUUGCAGUUUGUGUUGCAGGGAGCGGUUGUUAUAUAAGGGAAAUGCAACACUUCUAUUUGGCCAUACCGGUCAAACAAACCUCCAAUAUUAUCUUGUCGUGAAGGCAUGGAUAUGGAUGCCAUGCCCCUACAUGCACUCUUUUUUACCAUAUGUACACAAUGCAUACAAAUUCUGCUGAUGCUAUGAUAUAUAUGAUGCAGUCUUUUGACCACUACAUCCACGCAUAUUCCGCCUGGGAAAGUAGUGGCUAUGCUCAUGUUGGAUGCACCCACGCUACACCCCCCUUGCCUCCACUGUAUUGGCAUCUGUUCCCUGAGAAUUGUGCCAAGCAUAGGAGACUCAAAUCACGAGUCAGAGAGGGUGGUAGACAUAAAGGAAACCCUAAGCUAUGGAAGGGGAAGCAAAAGGAGCACAUAUCUUUCAAGACGUUGUUCGCGCUCAACAUCUUUCCACAUAACAAUACUGGAGAAGGUUUGGCUUUCAUACUCACAAAUAGCCCGUCAUUGCCAAGGAACAGUAAUAGCCAGUGGCUCGGCGUAUGCAACAACUAGGCAGAUGGCACACCGAUGAACCGAAUAGUAGCCAUGGAAUUCAACACGAGGAAGAGCUAUGAGGAUGAACUUGAUGGCAACCAUGUCGGGCUCGAUUUGAAGAGCAUCAAAUUUGUUAUCAGUGCCCACUCAACAAUCCUUUUAUCAUCCUAUCAAGUGUUCAUGAUGUCUUGGUCAGUACAUCUACAACUGAACAUCACAUGUUUUUGUAUUGUAUAUAAUCCAACCUAACACAAGUGACAGUAGGGGACAUAAUUGGUGAGAGAGUUGACCCGUUGAUCUAUCACAAUACCUAUUAGACAAAAUAUAUCUAGGAUUCACAGGUCCCACAUGUGAUUUGGAAAAGAUAAAAAUCUUGAAACUUCACCACGAUAGACGACAUACUCAUGGCUAAAAGAACAAGACAUGGGAAGCGGGUGUUUUUGCUCUCAUUGCCUUGGUUUUGCUUUUUGCGUGUUCAUCAUUGCUUGUUGCCAAGAGCAUGCAGUAUUUUCUCCGGUUUUUUCUUCAUUGAUAAUACAUAGUGCCGGUCGCCGAAACACCAAACAUGGGCAGUUUUUUUAUUCUGAUCGUGCCAACCCACGACCACUGACCCACAACCAACUAGCUACCACUGGUGCAACGACAUCCUACACAAACGGUUUUUACCCCAUUUCGGCGACACGGUUUUAAACCGUCACCUUGCCUAUGUGGGCGAUAUGGGGUCCAUCACACACGACCCAGAUAAAUCGUCUACAAUAGUGAUCGAUGAUGCAAAUGCUCUGCCAAAUGCAAUCGUAUGCGUUGCAGGAACAUGUCGCCCACACACUAUAUUUUGACAAACACGUGGGAUUGAGGGUCCAUCGCACAUGUCUCUAACGAGUCAAACACGUCUAAUUGCUCGGGGAACCCAAACAGUGUGUGACUUUUGACCAUUUUGCGAAAUAUUACCUAAGCCUGGACAAGCUCUUGUUUGCCAAUGCCACGACAACCACGUCCUCGUGAAACGGAAUAAUCUGUGAUGUGGCAUCUGCGCGCGACUACCUUCACCACUACAGCAACAAGAGGAUCCUCCACGGGGACGUCAAGGCCAGCAAUGUGAUGCUCGACGAGGAAUACAACGUGCGGCUGGGCGACUCUGGCCUCGCCCAUGCCAUCUAGCUCGACGGAGCGACACACCACUCGAUGCAGGCAGUUGCAGCACUCGGGGCUACGUGGCGCACGAGAGCUUCUUCACCAGUCGUGCCAGCCCUGGCAUGCACAUGUGUGCCUUCGGCAUCUUUGCCAUGGAGUGGGUGUGGGUGUGGGUGAGACAACUAAGGGUGUGUUUUGGAUGAGAAACCAAAUAGAACGGAAUGAAAUUUCAUGGUGCAACGGGUAGGUUUCAUUCCUGUGUUUGGUUGAAUCUAUAAAAUGGAAUGAUUUCCCUUCUUGUGUUUAGUUGGAAAAAUGGAAUGAAACAAAUUUGAUUCAGCUCACCUCUUUGAUAGAGAUGGUGAGAUUGCGUCCCAUAUGUACAUAGGUAGAUCUUAUACAAUCACCCCGCAAAAAAAAGGUAGAUCUUAUACAAUCGAAAUAAUUAUAGCCUUCGUAAUUUCAGCAACAUACUACUCCCUCCGUUCCAAAACAAGUGACUAACUUUAUACUAACUUUGUACUAAAAUUACCAUGUGACAUAUGUGGUAAUCAAUCGAAACAAUUCAAAAAAGAACUUUAUACUAAAGUUAGUACAAAGUUAAGUCACUUAUUUUAAAACGGAAGGAGUAUUUGAUUUGAACUUUCGGUAAUAUACUCGACUUUUCAAUAGCAAUUUAUUUGUAUUUCUAGCGCAAUCAAUAAGUAAUAUACACUUGCAAGCAUAAUGAAUAUAUACAUCAAUUCACUGCUCAAUUUGAGAGUAUAAAUACAUACUGGAUCACGGUGCUAAAGGUAGACAUUUUUUAAUAUUAGAUAGAGACAAACAAAGAUCCAACUCGGUGUUCGGGCUCCAGUGAAGAGUAAUGCGAUUUAAAAUAGAAAAAAAAUAAAAAAAACUGAAUCUUUUUUUGCAAGCAAGAUGUGCAUGUGUGUGAUGUUCAUGCAAAAUUUGGUGAUGUUUGGAUAUUCAAGUAGCGCACAGCAAAAAAAUAAAUCCAGGCAUGAACAGUGAUGUAUUUCAAAUGUUUCCCUCAGACCUGAAUUUGUUUUUCUUUUUGUCACAAGCUCCUCGAAAGUUCAAAUUCUCCAAAUUUGGCACGGACAUCACACACUCCAACAUCUUUCACCACAGAAAAAUGAAUUUUUUAAUUUGUUUUCCAUCUUAAAUUGCGUUACUGUUCACUCCCUGGAUCGUCUUUGCCCGGCAGCCAAAACGCUGCUGAGAAAGAGAUAGAUAGACAGAUAGAUAGGUAAUGUAGGUAGAUACAAGCAGAUGUAUACAUCAAAAGCUACUCCCUCCGUCCCAUAUAGGACGUUUUUGCAGUUUAAAUUGAACUGCAAAAACGUCUUACAAUAUGGGACAGAGUAGUAAAUCUAAACAAUAACUGUUUCCAUGUAACGCAUGUUCUUGCAAGUACAUUUGCUACACAGUUUUGCCAUUGUUUAACGCUUUAUAAUGUCAACUAUUGCACUCUUCCUCUCAUUCUAGUAUAUGCCUGUAUACAUAUUUCGACAAAACUGAGCUGCCUUCCUGCUGGCUUCAAUUUGCUUUCUCUAUAUGCAUGUAUGAGUAAGACUGGGAAUACAGACCAGACCAGUCCAGAAAAAUGACGAUCAGGUCUGUAUCCCUUUUCCUAUGAUGUUAGUCCCGUGACGUCCCUUGGAAUCAGAAACAAAAAUCCGAUAGGUAAGAGAGUGCCCAUCAGCUGAACAGUUAGGCUGAGCGUCAGAUUGUCAAACUGUACCGACGAGAUGUUCAAAGCUGACGUCAAUGCAGCUCCAAGGAAUGAACCUAAUGUCGAACUGAGGUUGUUAAUGGACAUGAACAGAGCAAACAGUGUGCCCUCGAUUCCAGGCGGGCAAAGCUGUCCUGAGAGGAUUAGGAACGGCAUCAUCCUGCCAAAUGAAAACAAUAAAGUUAGAAACGCUAUUGCGUAAAUGUGUAGGUAAGGUGUC
Molecule: long non-coding RNA, 36281 nt
Filed under: Triticum aestivum (bread wheat)
Lineage: Eukaryota; Viridiplantae; Streptophyta; Magnoliopsida; Poales; Poaceae
Description: long non-coding RNA (TAES_LNC027119)
Source: RNAcentral